GAAGCGACCUGGAAAGGUCCGUCGUAGAGGGUAACAACCCCGUAGUCGAAACUUCGUUCUCUCUUGAAUGUAUCCUGAGUACGGCGGAACACGUGAAAUUCCGUCGGAAUCUGGGAGGACCAUCUCCCAAGGCUAAAUACUCCCUAGUGAUCGAUAGUGAACCAGUACCGUGAGGGAAAGGUGAAAAGCACCCCGGAAGGGGAGUGAAAGAGAUCCUGAAACCGUGUGCCUACAAAUAGUCAGAGCCCGUUAACGGGUGAUGGCGUGCCUUUUGUAGAAUGAACCGGCGAGUUACGAUCCCGUGCGAGGUUAAGCUGAAGAGGCGGAGCCGCAGCGAAAGCGAGUCUGAAUAGGGCGUUUAGUACGUGGUCGUAGACCCGA
RNAcentral lists this ribosomal RNA (381 nucleotides) under Bacillus anthracis (anthrax bacterium). Its description in RNAcentral is "partial 23S ribosomal RNA". It matches the Rfam family "Bacterial large subunit ribosomal RNA", at positions 335 to 718 of the family's 2925-position model. Lineage: Bacteria; Bacillati; Bacillota; Bacilli; Caryophanales; Bacillaceae. The record is from RNAcentral.